This 227-nucleotide ribosomal RNA is filed under the name uncultured bacterium. RNAcentral describes it as "partial 16S ribosomal RNA". It matches the Rfam family "Bacterial small subunit ribosomal RNA", at positions 524 to 751 of the family's 1533-position model. The record is from RNAcentral.
UACGGAGGGAGCUAGCGUUGUUCGGAUAUACUGGGCGUAAAGCGCACGUAGGCGGCGCAGCAAGUCAGGGGUGAAAUCCCGGAGCUCAACUCCGGAACUGCCUUUGAACUGCAGUGCUAGAAUCCUGGAGAGGCGAGUGGAAUUCCGAGUGUAGAGGUGAAAUUCGUAGAUAUUCGGAAGAACACCAGUGGCGAAGCGGACUCGCUGGACAGGUAUUGACGCUGAGG